This 97-nucleotide microRNA precursor is filed under the name Loxodonta africana (African savanna elephant). RNAcentral's name for it is "mir-544 microRNA precursor family". It matches the Rfam family "mir-544 microRNA precursor family". The record is from Rfam by way of RNAcentral. Lineage: Eukaryota; Metazoa; Chordata; Mammalia; Proboscidea; Elephantidae.
AUCACCUGGGGAUCUUGUUAAAAUGCAGAUUUGGAUUCAGUAGAUUUGAGAUGGAGCUCAGAUUUUGCAUUUUUAACAAGCUCCCAGGUGAUGCUGA